Molecule: long non-coding RNA, 1036 nt
Filed under: Amborella trichopoda
Lineage: Eukaryota; Viridiplantae; Streptophyta; Magnoliopsida; Amborellales; Amborellaceae
Description: long non-coding RNA (ATRI_LNC000219)
Source: RNAcentral
UCAAGACUCACAAGCAAAUAGAAAGAAGAAGAAUAACCAAGAUGAAGUGGAAAAAAAACUUUAUUAAAGAAAAAUAUGGGGUACACAAAGGCAUUACAAUCUCAACACACGAGAUUAACUUUAACACAUGUGACCCCGGGUUACACAAAGGCAUUACAAUCUUGACACUCAAGAUUAACCUUAAACAUAUGUCCCAAUUUUCUCACCACACACAUCUCUUUAACUGGAGGUUUUUAUAACCAUGUUUCCUACAAUAACUACCCACUUGUGACAAUAACUCCUAACCACCUUGUAGUUUUACAACUUCCUACUACACAAACUUACAAGUGCAACCAUACUACAUCACUCAUGGUAAAAUAACAUAAAAACUAAUAUACUUUCUAGAAAAUAUACUUUAACAAUUUUAACAUUCUAUCGUAAAUUGAUUUUCUAAAAAGGAGAUGAUGUAUAUGCUAUCAUCUCCAUUAUUUCCCGAAAUUAAAAAUCCGGCUAUUUAGCAGGCUACCAAAGAGAUUCUCAAAUUUCACCAAGUAGGGCUGCAUAACCCAUCCUUGAAUAGAGGUAGCAUUGGGAAUAUAUAUUUUUUUUAACCCACAAAUGAUAAGUCACUUUAUCUGUUCCUCCAAAUAGGUUCUUCCGCAUCAAUGGUUUUAACCUUGAGUUGAGUUCCCAACUCAACAUUAAAACCAUUAAACCUUCCACUGAAUCCAUCUUCGAAAAGAUAAUUGAUCUUUUUCACCAAAGGAGUUGAGACAACAUCACCACGACCCUUAUGGUUCUGAACCAUGUAGAGAAAUACGGAUUCCACAACAUCGGAACAAUCCGCUUCUCAAUUAGUGUGACAAUGCCACAUUAGCCCAAGACUCACAAGCAAAUAGAAAGAAGAAGAAUAACCAAUAUAAAGUGGAAGCAAAACUUCAUUAAAGAAAAACAUGGCGUACACAAAGGCAUUACAACCUCAACACGCAAGAUUAACCUUAACACAUGUGACCUCGGGUACACAAAGGCAUUACAAUCUUGAUGCUCAAGAUUAACG